This 635-nucleotide ribosomal RNA is filed under the name uncultured bacterium. Its description in RNAcentral is "bacterial SSU rRNA". The stretch from base 1 to 530 matches the Rfam family "Bacterial small subunit ribosomal RNA", at positions 338 to 873 of the family's 1533-position model. The record is from RNAcentral.
CCUACGGGAGGCAGCAGUGAGGAAUAUUGGACAAUGGGCGCAAGCCUGAUCCAGCCAUGCCGCGUGCAGGAAGACGGUCCUAUGGAUUGUAAACUGCUUUUAUACAGGAAGAAACACCUCUACGUGUAGAGACUUGACGGUACUGUAUGAAUAAGCAUCGGCUAACUCCGUGCCAGCAGCCGCGGUAAUACGGAGGAUGCAAGCGUUAUCCGGAAUCAUUGGGUUUAAAGGGUCCGUAGGCGGUUUAAUAAGUCAGUGGUGAAAGCCCAUCGCUCAACGAUGGAACGGCCAUUGAUACUGUUAAACUUGAAUUAUUAGGAAGUAACUAGAAUAUGUAGUGUAGCGGUGAAAUGCUUAGAGAUUACAUGGAAUACCAAUUGCGAAGGCAGGUUACUACUAAUAUAUUGACGCUGAUGGACGAAAGCGUGGGGAGCGAACAGGAUUAGAUACCCUGGUAGUCCACGCCGUAAACGAUGGAUACUAGNUGUGUGNAUNUGAGUGNGUAGAGAAGUAGAGUAAGUAGUACCACCGUAACGGGUAGGUACGUUACGUUCGUAAGAAGUUAGAACGUUAACGAAAGGAAAGUUAGUUACGGACGNGAGACGAGCGACGGACGACGACGAGGGAGGAGGAGG